GACGAACGCUGGCGGCGUGCUUAACACAUGCAAGUCGAGCGAUGAAGUUCCUUCGGGAAUGGAUUAGCGGCGGACGGGUGAGUAACACGUGGGUAACCUGCCUCAUAGAGGGGAAUAGCCUUCCGAAAGGAAGAUUAAUACCGCAUAAGAUUGUAGUGCCGCAUGGCAUAGCAAUUAAAGGAGCAAUCCGCUAUGAGAUGGACCCGCGUCGCAUUAGCUAGUUGGUGAGGUAACGGAUAACCAAGGCGACGAUGCGUAGCCGACCUGAGAGGGUGAUCGGCCACAUUGGGACUGUGACACGGCCCAGACUCCUACGGGAGGCAGCAGUGGGGAAUAUUGCACAAUGGGGGAAACCCUGAUGCAGCAACGCCGCGUGAGUGAUGACGGUCUUCGGAUUGUAAAACUCUGUCUUCAGGGACGAUAAUGACGGUACCUGAGGAGGAAGCCACGGCUAACUACGUGCCAGCCGCCGCCGUAA
This 478-nucleotide ribosomal RNA is filed under the name uncultured bacterium. RNAcentral describes it as "partial 16S ribosomal RNA". It matches the Rfam family "Bacterial small subunit ribosomal RNA", at positions 28 to 523 of the family's 1533-position model. The record is from RNAcentral.